ACUUUCGGGUAAUUGAGAGUGGCGAACGGGUGCGUAACGCGUAUGCAACCUACCCUAUACAGGGGGAUAGCCCGGAGAAAUCUGGAUUAAUACCCCAUGGUACCAAGUUGAGGCAUUUUGAUUUGGUUAAAGAUUCAUCGGUAUAGGAUGGGCAUGCGUCUGAUUAGCUAGUUGGCGGUGUAACGGACCACCAAGGCUACGAUCAGUAGGGGUUCUGAGAGGAAGGUCCCCCACACUGGCACUGAGAUACGGGCCAGACUCCUACGGGAGGCAGCAGUAGGGAAUAUUGGGCAAUGGACGAGAGUCUGACCCAGCCAUGCCGCGUGCAGGAAGACGGCGUUCUGCGUUGUAAACUGCUUUUAUCUGGGAAGAAAAAGCCCCUGCGGGGGAAAUUGCCGGUACCAGAUGA
This 409-nucleotide ribosomal RNA is filed under the name Bacteroidetes bacterium BAL153. Its description in RNAcentral is "bacterial SSU rRNA". It matches the Rfam family "Bacterial small subunit ribosomal RNA", at positions 76 to 485 of the family's 1533-position model. The record is from RNAcentral. Lineage: Bacteria; Pseudomonadati; Bacteroidota.